Molecule: long non-coding RNA, 274 nt
Filed under: Populus trichocarpa (black cottonwood)
Lineage: Eukaryota; Viridiplantae; Streptophyta; Magnoliopsida; Malpighiales; Salicaceae
Description: long non-coding RNA (PTRI_LNC001603)
Source: RNAcentral
CGUUUUGCAUUAUUUUUACAUUCCUUGUCAAUAAUGAAACGAGUUCGGCUUCAGAGGGACAAUCCUGAUUCCUCAUCCUCCUCGAGGGUGGCUGUGUAGGUAAAGUAGAGAGCCCAGAUGAGAGCAAAAACACCCAACAGGAUCCAAACAAGAAGGUUGUUACUCAAACCAAAGGGCAGUCCUGUUCCUUCAGUGGACAUUCUCUCAUCCACCAGAGCCAAGGCGGGGCUUGACAUGGAUGCAGCGCACACAGCUGCCAUCAAAGAUGCACUCA